This 394-nucleotide ribosomal RNA is filed under the name uncultured bacterium. Its description in RNAcentral is "partial 16S ribosomal RNA". It matches the Rfam family "Bacterial small subunit ribosomal RNA", at positions 523 to 918 of the family's 1533-position model. The record is from RNAcentral.
AUACGUAGGGAGCGAGCGUUGUCCGGAAUUACUGGGCGUAAAGGGCGCGUAGGCGGCGCUUCAAGUCGUCUGUCAAAUGGGAGGGCUUAACCCUUUUUCGCAGACGAAACUGGAGAGCUUGAGAAGCAGAGAGGCAAACAGAAUUCCUGGUGUAGCGGUGAAAUGCGUAGAUAUCAGGAAGAAUACCAGUGGCGAAGGCGGUUUGCUGGCUGCAUACUGACGCUGAAGCGCGAAAGCCAGGGGAGCAAACGGGAUUAGAUACCCCGGUAGUCCUGGCCGUAAACGAUGAAUGCUAGGUGUGGGUGUCGAGAGGCAUCCGUGCCGGAGUUAACGCGAUAAGCAUUCCGCCUGGGGAGUACGAUCGCAAGAUUGAAACUCAAAGGAAUUGGCGGGG